Molecule: ribosomal RNA, 786 nt
Filed under: Triticum aestivum (bread wheat)
Lineage: Eukaryota; Viridiplantae; Streptophyta; Magnoliopsida; Poales; Poaceae
Description: partial small subunit ribosomal RNA
Source: RNAcentral
AUGCGCGACGACGGAGCGACGACAAUGCCGCCACGGUCGGCGCCGUCUCGGCCGCCUCCGUGGGAGGCGCUCUCCCUCGUGGCCAACUUCCUUGACGCCGCGUCCCUCGCCGCGGCUUCCUGCGUCUCCACCUCCUGGCACGCCGCCUUCUCCGACGACCACCUCUGGGCGCGGCUCUGCCGCUGCCACUACCCCUCCGCCAUCGGCCUCCUCCCCUUGUCCGACAGCAGCGUCAAUGCGGGCGACCGGCGGUCCUCCCCGCACCGCGGCCUCUUCGCGCUGUUCCACUCCGCCGCCUCCCGCGGCCGCUCGCUCCCAGAGCCUCGCCUCGCCCUCGCGGACGUCACCUUCGCGGUCGACCUCUUCGCGGCAGGUGGACAGAACAUGCUCUCGUUCGCCGUUGCUGCGUGCGACGCCGGCGUCAAGAAGGCCCCCGGCGGCGUGUUCCAGUUCGCGGUGGACGUGAGUGACCGGAACGCGGUGGCCGGGCCUGGUAAGCACUGGAGCGUGCGGUGGACGGCUGUUCGGACGGGGCUCGGGGUCGCGCCUGCGGCGAUCGUGAUGAUGGACGCCAAGUUGCCGGCGUCGAGGGCCGGAGCGCUUGGCAGUGGCGUGAGGGGGGAGUCAUGGGCCACGGAGGGGCUGCCCGCGCCGGGAUGCGGCGGCGGGAAGCUGGAGGCGGAGGCCGUGGUCGAGGUGAGCGGAGAGGAGAGGCUGGUGGAGAAGGUGAGGCUCGGGGUGUUGUUGGAUUGCAGGGAGGAGAGUUUCCCAUCUGAAUAUAUUUAA